This 321-nucleotide ribosomal RNA is filed under the name Triticum aestivum (bread wheat). RNAcentral's name for it is "partial small subunit ribosomal RNA". Lineage: Eukaryota; Viridiplantae; Streptophyta; Magnoliopsida; Poales; Poaceae. The record is from RNAcentral.
AUGCAGUACGGUCCACUGCCGUUGACAAGAUGCCCCGAUUGCCCGCGCAUGGAGCCUCUGAAGCGUUUGACUUGUGUGAGGGAAGAAAAUGGCAAUCGUGGGCGCGAGUUUGUGAAAUGCUUGAGCAAGCCACAGCCGGGGCAGGUUCUGAAGAAAUGUGGGCAUUUUGAGUGGCUCGAUGACUAUGUUGAAAAGUUGAAAUUGGAGGGAUCAACCGGAACCCAAGAGCUCAAUUUUGGGGGGGCGGCUUGCCGUGGAACAAGCCCCCAAUUUGGGGGACAGAGCCGAUCCGAUGAUGCACGGUGCAGAACUGAAGUGUGA